This 224-nucleotide unclassified non-coding RNA is filed under the name Hevea brasiliensis (rubber tree). Lineage: Eukaryota; Viridiplantae; Streptophyta; Magnoliopsida; Malpighiales; Euphorbiaceae. The record is from RNAcentral.
GACAAUUUCUGAUCAUCUUGAUGAAGCCAUGACGGAGGCCAGUGAGUGCAAUAAGUCUGUAAUGCCUAGUUGCCACAAUCAACAAAAUAUAAAUUGCUGCAUCAGUCCUGUGGAAGUUUUACCCUGCCAAACAAGCGAUACGGGGAGUUCAAGUAGUGCCAUUGACAAUGGUGAUACUGGGAUUUGUCUGAAUACUGCGGAAAAUUAUCCUGAUCAAAUCACAC